CCGUGCACAGUCUGUAGGGCACCCGUCUGCUGAACCUGCUGGAGAUGGAUGAUGCACGAGAGUUCAAGCCACUACCACUUCUCUGUGAAAGGCUGGAGAAUUCAGGGCCACGGUUUCAAAAGGUCUUAAAAAACAUAGCAACAAUGCAUUCCAACACUUCCCUCUGAUUAUGAGAAAGCACCCUGCCCUCCAAGCCUAGGUAAGUGUUGACAUGCUCAGUACCUCAAGCCCAUUCCUCUAUGAGUAGUCAGAGGAAUGGGUCAUGUGUGUGAUAGGGUCAGGUCUUAAUUUCAGCUUUUGGGCCUGGCCCAGCAAGCAUUUAAAAUGAGGCUCAGGGUUUGGUAUUUUAAGAAGUUUCAUGGUUUUUUUCUGGAAUACUGUGUGGUACUUAGCACUGAUACCAAUAAGGUUUGAGGGAAUUGAACUCUUUCUGCAGAUUUGGAUAUUUGUCUGCAUCUACAAGUGAGUACAUUUCCUUUUAGACUAAAGUGCCCCCCCCCUCCAAGUUGGUCUUUUAAAUGACCUGUGAGGCCCUCAUCCUGUGAUAACACCAUCCUGCCUUCCCCAGACAUAUUCCUCUAUCUACACAGCAGUCUUGGACUCUUUCUAGGGUUAUGCACGACCUCAGGGAUCUAUCAGCAUGAAGCUUGCUGGAAGAUGGAUGGCUCAGAGAAAAGUGAGAGAAGAGUCAAACUCGGUUGGAAAUGUUUAGCAUUUCCAUAGGGAAAGCUGGAAAAAGCAUGAAUAACUGACAGGCGCAGGAACAGGCAUGGGCAGACCUCUAAUGCAAACCCUGACUAAAUUUGGAGAUCCCUGUGGACCUCAGUAAACCACAAAAUAAAAAAUAAAUAAAUAAAUAAAUACA
RNAcentral lists this long non-coding RNA (865 nucleotides) under Anser cygnoides (Swan goose). RNAcentral describes it as "lncRNA (ENSACDG00005003025.1)". The record is from RNAcentral. Lineage: Eukaryota; Metazoa; Chordata; Aves; Anseriformes; Anatidae.